GACGAACGCUGGCGGCGUGCCUAAUACAUGCAAGUUGAGCGCUGAAGGUUGGUACUUGUACCAACUGGAUGAGCAGCGAACGGGUGAGUAACGCGUGGGGAAUCUGCCUUUGAGCGGGGGACAACAUUUGGAAACGAAUGCUAAUACCGCAUAAAAACUUUAAACACAAGUUUUAACUUUGAAAGAUGCAAUUGCAUCACUCAAAGAUGAUCCCGCGUUGUAUUAGCUAGUUGGUGAGGUAAAGGCUCACCAAGGCGAUGAUACAUAGCCGACCUGAGAGGGUGAUCGGCCACAUUGGGACUGAGACACGGCCCAAACUCCUACGGGAGGCAGCAGUAGGGAAUCUUCGGCAAUGGACGAAAGUCUGACCGAGCAACGCCGCGUGAGUGAAGAAGGGUUUCGGAUCGUAAAACUCUGUUGGUAGAGAAGAACGUUGGUGAGAGUGGAAAGCUCAUCAAGUGACGGUAACUACCCAGAAAGGGACGGCUAACUACGUG
RNAcentral lists this ribosomal RNA (497 nucleotides) under uncultured bacterium. Its description in RNAcentral is "partial 16S ribosomal RNA". It matches the Rfam family "Bacterial small subunit ribosomal RNA", at positions 28 to 507 of the family's 1533-position model. The record is from RNAcentral.